GUAAAUAUAGUUUAUACAAAAACUCCAGACUGUGAAUCUGGAAAUAGGAAAUUAAAUUCCUUAUUUACC
RNAcentral lists this transfer RNA (69 nucleotides) under Peromyscus californicus (California mouse). RNAcentral describes it as "tRNA-His". It matches the Rfam family "tRNA". From Rfam's summary of the family: Transfer RNA (tRNA) molecules are approximately 80 nucleotides in length. Their secondary structure includes four short double-helical elements and three loops (D, anti-codon, and T loops). The record is from RNAcentral. Lineage: Eukaryota; Metazoa; Chordata; Mammalia; Rodentia; Cricetidae. RNAcentral also lists the same sequence under 1 other name.